This 9832-nucleotide long non-coding RNA is filed under the name Homo sapiens (human). RNAcentral's name for it is "non-protein coding lnc-SMOC2-8:6". Lineage: Eukaryota; Metazoa; Chordata; Mammalia; Primates; Hominidae. The record is from RNAcentral.
AGAACUUCUGAGCAACGUGGCAGCUGCCGGGACCGGGCCUCUGAGUGCAGAGAGCAGGCGUUGCCAGGAGCGGACUCAGACAGUGGAGGCCCCUCGCUGACCCUCUCCGGGGCCACUGCAAAGGAAGAAGAAAAGCACAGGCAUCAGCUUCAACAAUGCAAAACAAAGUAAGCUUGAAUUCAGAUGAGGGGCAGUUAAAAUCGCAGCCUAGAAGUCCAAGUGUGGUUUGUAACACUCCAAACCCCAUGUCAGCCUUCAGUGAUUGUUCUGCUGACCAUGUUGCUACAGAGCGGCUUGGGUUUUUCCUUGUGGCAACUCCCCAGGGUGACAGAUUAUUCGGCAAUGUCACCAUUUUGUAGAUGUAUUCGGGAUUUCCAGCCAUAAGCCAUGGAUGAUAUUGGGGAUCCUUUAUUCCUGGUGGGUGCCCAUAAGAGUUUGCAAACUAUACCCAAAAGGGCACGGGAACCCCUAAACUUUCCAGGCUGUCUUGGCACACGGCUCACUAGAACUGUUAACGCCGUCAAAGUAUCUCUGACACGUCCUUAGCCUGUGUUUGAAAACCUGCAGAGAUGGGAUACGCCCCUUUACCAGAGACAGUGCAUUCCGUCCACUGGGAGUGACACACGGCCAAGCCAGGCUUCAAAGAGAGAGGUUCACCGUAUUCCAGUAGUGACUACUGGGAUUUAGGGUUGGAUCACCUUACCAGAGCUUGGAAGCUGCUAGAAGUUAACAUUAAUUUUAUUGUUCUUUAAAAUGAAAGUCCAGCAGGAGGGCCAGGAUUUGGGCAUCUCGGUCCUUCACGAAAAGAAAGGGUGAUGUUGAUUAGCCAUGUUCCACAUCCCCCGAGUUAAAUAUAGGAAUAGUUCUGACAUCUGACUCAAGAAUGUGUUUUCUUGCAUGAUAUUAAGGCAGAUGCACAGAUCCACGUAGAUUAAUCCCCUUCACUAGUAGCAGGGGCCCGAUGAGGUAGCUGAUGAGGAAGAGCCCCCGAGACCAGGCCCAGCGUGGGGCCACGGCCUUGGGAUCUGGACGACACCCCAGCGGUUCUGUGCCGCCAGCAGGCCCUGCCGCAUCUCUGGGCUGGAGCCCUGACUGUCAGCAGAUGAGGCCAUGGGUUGGGGUGUCUCUCCCACCAGAACGGCUUCGUGGGGUGCUCACUAUCCCCUGGUCAUGCUUCGGCACAGCUGGCACCGGCUCCCUGAGGGCCCACUGAUUGGUUUUACACAAGUCUGUGAAGCUUCCCACAAUGCACGAUGUCCUUAGCAAAUACAACACAGCCCGCUGGUAUCGCCUCUUCCUUCACUACCUCCACAACCACUUGUGGCAGAGGAGGAGCCUCCAGUUGCACUUGGCCAAGGCGGCUUUUGUAAGAACUUGACGGGACCAAGCCACCCCCACGGCAUCAUUUCCACGGGAGAACACAUCCCAGCGAAACUCCAAGGAAAGGGUAGUUUUGUGAAGAAAAUGCUUGUGUUCUAGGACACAGCCCAGCAAGUCCCUGACUUUAAAAAAUGUGUAAGAAACAGGAAUGUAACAUUGACGAAACAUGCCUGCCAAGAUGGACUUUCCUUGUGGCGAGACCCUUCCUUCUCCUCAAUGCCUGGGUGCUAGCAGGGUAGCAUCCCCAGCCUCAGAGCUCAAGCGUCAUGAUUGGGGAAAUGAGACUGGGCAGCCAUUCGGAAGGCCGGGCAAAGAAGAGUGUAAAGAGACAUUGGUCUCGUGCUGCAGAAUGAGUUACAAAUAGUGAAUCCUCAGCAAUACUGUCUCCCCGUGGACUGGAAUUUGGACCCGCUGCUGUGGCGGGCAGCUUUGACCCAAUGAGGACCACGCCUGGAAGGAUGUCAGAGCAGCAGGGACCUGGGUGGAGUGACCUGGUGGAACGGAGACGCCUGCCGGCUCAGCAGCCACAGCAGCAGCUGCCCGUCAUGGGACAGCAACGUGGCAAGAAUUCCCCACGGGUUCCGGGGGAGCCUGUGUUGCUGGACCCUUUGCCACACCACCGAACCUGGCCCAGAGGAGCAGGAAUUGGCCGAGUUCCAGGCCCUGCACCUGACGGGGGCUUCCUCAGCCUCUCAUGUGAUCCUCGCAGCAGGCUAACGUGCAGGCCCUUCUGUUUUCCAGAUUUGACAGUUGAGAGGGGAAAGCCAUGUUUUCAAAUGUUACAGUAGAAGAGGCAGGAUGCAAAUCCAGCCCUGGCUGGUGCUGAAGCUGGGGCAGGUGCAUCUGCAGGGUGCUGCCUUCAAGGCAGAGGGGUGACUGCUGUGUUUCAUGGCAGGGAAGCCCCCCUUGAUGCUCACACCACCCAGGUCGUACGGCUUUGAGGACAUCCCUUUCUUCAAACCCAGGUCAUCUGAACAGUGUGGCCUGAAUCCCAGGUUGGGAGUGAGUAAUUCAUCAUCCAAACUGAUUAGAGAAUCUGAGUGAGGGACCUUCAAGUCAGGGAUAGAGAACGGGCUUCGUCUUCUGGAGCUGCCAUAACAAAAUGCCGAAGACUGGGCGGCUUCAACCACACAAGGGCCUUUCGACACAGCCCUGGCAACUGGAAGCUGGGGGUCGAGGUGUGGGCAGGGCUGGUUCCUGGGGAAGGAUCUCCUCCCGGCUGCAGAUGGCCGCCCCUGGCUGCAUGCCCGCCUGGCUUUCCUCGGUGCUCACUCACCCCGGUGCCUCUUCUGCUUCUUAGAAGGAUCCCCAGCAGAUGAGGGCCCCAGCCUGGUGACCUCACUUACCCUCCAUCAUGUGCUGAAGGCCUGCGACAAGCACUUCUCAUCUUCCCAUCCUCUGACGGAGCCAGUCCCACCCACCACGUGGACGUGGGUGUUGUCUGUGGACCAAGGUCAGUGUUUUGUUGGUUUUUCUUAUUGUUUGGCACCAGCAUUACAUAGACCAAUAGACCUUGUUGUUCUCCGCCCGGAGGGGCUGGUGCUGUGGCUGGGGCACCGCCCUGGGUAGGCCCCGCCCCAGGCCAUGCAGUUCCCAGGCUCCUUUCUGGGAGGGGUUGGUUCUCACAAAGGGGGAAAAUCAUGAAAUGGCAAACCUGAGUCACGGCAGCACAGAGGACAGCCCCUGAAGGCAUAAGCAGGAAGGGCAUAAUGCUUUCCAAAAGAGAAAACUACAUGGACUUUACUGACUCAUCACUGAGUUCUGAGAUCACUGACACUUACACAUGUGUCCACGCUGUUGUGAGUCAUGGGGAAAAAUGGAGGAGCAAAAUGACCAAGUGGCAGGGUCUGUAAGAGUCUCUCACUGUAGGGAUGGGCUGCCCUGAGGAGACACUGCCCAGGCCUGGGUGCCCCGGGCCAAAGUCCUGACCCUUGCAGGGCUGUGUCCUGUGGAUGACAUGUGGCACUGGACUGCUCACUGACAGAAUUAGAAGUACCUUUUCCAAUAUUCAUGCCAUGAAGAGUUUGUUGGUGAGUUCUGAUCCACCCCUCUCAAAUCUGCCUAUAUAUGGGGCCGUCCAUGGUGAUGGGGUGGACAGCUGGGCUCUGCAACCUGCCAGCGUUUUCCUGCUGUGCCCUGAGGCAGUGCUCAGGCUAGCCAAAGAUCUGUGGGUGCUGAAUGCAGCUGUCCUCAUCGUGAGCUCCCUUUUUGUCACCAAAGCUGCUUCUCUUGGUUGAUUCUGUUAGGUGUGGGGUGUAUCCACAAUUUCUUAGGUUAAUACUUAAAAGAUAGAGACGUACUCAAUCCAGGUCCAGUGGAAUGCCUUUGGUAGUGGGAUUGUACCCAAAGUUCACAGAAGAUAAAUUUUAUAUAAAAUGAGCCAGGUUUGCUUUGUACAUUUCCAACUGUAGAAUGAAAUUUAGGGGACUGAAUAGUCAGUGUCUUAUUUCACUUGUGUCUUUGGAUACAAAUGUUUUUCUUUUAAAACUCCUGACUGCAUAUUCCUUGUGUGUGUGUGGCUUUUAGUCCUAGAUUGUAAAGCUUGCCAAGUCUGCCUGCUGGGAACUGACUCCUCUAUGCAGAAGCUCCCCUUCCUCUGACACAGUGCAGGUCACACCCAUCUUCAGUCUCUGCUCACCAUGACAGAGUCACAGCCACACCCGGGACAGAACCUGGGCUCCGGGCAGCAGGUAAUAGGAGGAUAUUCUACCCAGGGCCGGAACAAGCCAGGUCCAGCCUCAACUGCUCUGUGGCUAGUAAGUGCGAGGAUGCUGUGUCACAGGUGUCACACGUCACUAAGAGAACGUCGUGGGCGCACGGGGAAUGUCUUUAUGGCACUGUCUGGAAGCAGGCUGCAUCUCAGCAGCUCCAGAGGUUACAGGGGCUGGUUUUCACCAACACAAGAAGUGUUAGAGACAGGAGACGUGGAGGAACCUGUCGAACCUGGUGGGGAUCGAGUUUAAACACAUCUGCACACACUUGGGUGUGUGUGUCCCAGCGCAUCUCAGCCCUGAGUGCCCACACCUGGCUUCCCUGCCCCCCCACCCCUCCUACCCCACAGUCCACACUGCCCCACACCUACUCGUGUCCAGAAAGCUCUCGCUGAGCCUCCUCCCACAUCAGCCACUCUUGGAGGACUGAGAAAACAGUGGUGGGGGGCCAGUUCCCAAAUCCAGGCGCUCCUGGCACAUCCAAAUCCGGGACGACUGACCAAGGGCUCGCACUCAGCCUGAGGAAGCAAGUGGUCCUUUGACUCGGAGUAAGAACUGCUCAGAGGCCAACGUGCUCUGGCUCGGGUCCCCCUGGCACCUCCAGGCAGGUCUUUCUAAUUUGGUUCCUGAACACGCUCCAGCUCCCAUCCUGAGGCCUGCCCUUGCCCUUCCCUCCCCCAUUGCUCUUCCCACCCUCCUCCCUUGCCAUUCCCUGUCCUCAUUGCUCUUCCCACCUUCCUCCUUCCGCUCCCUCUCAAGGCCCUGCCCUGUCUGGUUCACCAUCCUCCUCUCGUCCUCUCCUGGCUCCUCCCCAGAGCUUGGUGUUCAUUCGGACGCCUUCUCCCUGCAGCCUCCACCAGGGCCCUGGCUGCCCUCGCCCUCCAGCAAGUCACUGUAUUUUACGUUCUUCAUGGAGUUUUUUACUUUUGAGAUUUAUCAACUUUACAUGCAUGUUUGCUGCACCCCCUCACUAGAUUUCAUCUACAUGGGAACAGAGACCCCUCUGCUUUGCUCCCUGCUGUAAACAUCCCGGCUCGGGAAAGUCUCUAUCUACAGACACUGCUGGGUGCUGAGUUUCCAGAGCAGUCAAUGCGAUGUGCGACUCCGUGGUGAGAACUGAAGAUGCAUGAGGAUGAGGGGCGCUCGAUCCCUGUCCUCUGUGAUCUGGUACAACAGAAUCAACCCCUGCAUGGUGGGCCCCAGUGAGCAGCCUGCGGGAUGCACGGAGCCACCCAGAAACACGUGAACUCGGUGGCAGCAGCAGAGACAGAAACAUCUCACAGUACACCAGGAAUGAAAGUGUAAAAUACUUAGCAUUUGACAAGGUUUCCAGUUAUAUGUUCUUCUUUGAGCAUCAAAUGAGGGUCCCAUACCUAUUUCUGUGCUCAUGUUACAGACAGAAUGGAAACACAGAGAGUUACAGAGAUGUGAUCCAGGUGGGGGCUGGGAAGGGGCUUCCUGCAGAGGUUUAUACCCAGGCUCGUGGAGAAAAUGCCCUACGAGGGACCAAGCCAAGGACUCAAGCAAACGCAGGGAAUGAGACAGCGUUUCCAGGCCAGAAUGCGGGAGCCCUUCAGCAGAAUCAGGGGUUAGGAAGCUCGGUGACUUCAGGCAGGAAGGCGAUGGAACGGGAACAGGGUCUUUCUGUUUCACGUAGGCGAUGGAACGGGAAUGGGGGUCUUUACUUUUCACGCAGGUGAUGGAACAGGAACGGGGUCCUUCCAUGUGGGAAAUGCUGAGCCUGCGCUGCCAACCGCCUCCGGGUGAGACAUCUUGUGGACAGCUGGGACAGGCGGCAGAGUAAGAGGCAGUGGUUUAGAAGUCAAAUGCCCUUGGACAAUUGUGGAAGCUUUUGAUUUUAUUAUUUUAUUAUUAACUGAAAAAAAUAGAAAAUAGAAAAUAGAAAAAAAUAGAAUUGGAGAGGAGGAAUAAGUAGAUGUUUAGCAACAGAGCGUGCAAUGCAGCAGCACACUGAGAAAAGUAGCCCAGAAAGGACGGGGAGCUUCAGGAGGCGACAACUCACAAAUAUGACGGCCACUCACAGGCCAGUCCUGCAAACGACAGAUGACUCCAGGAGAGGCCGGGCGUGGUGGCUCACACCUGCAAUCCCAGCACUUUGGGAGGCUGAGGCAGGUGGAUCACCUGAGGUCAGGAGUUCGAGACCAGCCUGGCCAACAUGGCGAAACCCCGUCUCUACUAAAAAUACAAAAAUUAGCCGGGCGUGGUGGCGGGCACCUGUAAUCUCAGCUACUCGGGAGGCAGAGGCAGGAGAAUUGCUUGAACCUGGGAGGCAGAGGUUGCAGUGAGUCGAGAUCAUGCCAUUGCAAUUCAGCCUGGGCAACAGGGCGAGACUCCAUCUCGAAAACAAAACAAAACAAAACAAAUGACUUGAGGAGACGGCUUCAGAAAAUACUGUUGUGUUUGGUGACUGAGUGGUUAUUCAUGUUCUUGGACAAUGCUUUCCAAAUGUUAGUUUGCCUACAGGUCACGCAAACAUCCUGCAUGUGAAGGCAGACUCCGGAGGUCUGGGAAGCACUGGGUUUUGGGUUUUUUUGUAUAAAAGCUUCCAGAUGGCACUGAUGCUGCCUGUCAGGGGACUACACCUUGACAAGCCUGUAGAGACUGUGUUAGAAGGGCAGGGUGAACACCAGAUCCCGUAGCGAGGUAAGGGGUAAGCAGGUGUGAGGAGGCAGGGCAGACACAUGGCCGCCUUCUAGGAGUCUGAGAGUGGAGAUUAGGAUAAUAGAAGCUUAAUGGCAUUUUAAGGUUAAAGAUCUUAUUUUUUGCUUUGUAUUGAUUUUGGACGGAUGAGUCCUGGAAAAAUUAAUUGCCAAGGGUCACUUGGAAGAGAGUGGGUGCCGUGACAUCGGUGGGGUCACCCAAUGUCAGACUGGCGAGCAUUUUGAGUUGCCCGUAACUGUUGUGCCUCAAGCUCCUGGUGUUCCCGGAGGCUGUGCCCUGGAGGCCCGUUGCAGAGAACACGGAGGCACAUUCUCCUGCUGUGAAGUCAGCCCAGGCAAGGCAGGCGUGGCAGCCUGUACCAUUGGUGUGGCCACGGGGCCGAGAGGGCAGGAAACAGAGAGAGGGAGGUUGGUUUCAUGUUGCAAAAUGCCGGAUGAGUGGGCAAACCCCCCGCAAUUCUGUCUGGCCAAAUUAUACUUUUAGGUUCAGGCCUAUACUUUAUAUUUUAAAAGCUCAAAUUAUUUUAUAAUCUCCUGAAAAUACAUCAUCUUGCCAUUUGCUUUCAAUACUGCACUGCGACCUUUUAUAAUCUUUCAAAAACAUGUUCUCCCUUUGGAUAAAUGAGAAAAUAAAUAGUAUUCAGUGAAGACCAACUACUGAAUUAUUUUAAAAUAUCUUGUUUAUAAAAGGUUUUUACCAGUGAGAGGAUUUAAGAGUUGCUUGGCUCUUGAAGCCAGCAGAGACUUCUGUGUGCAUUGCUUCAUUUGUGGGGGAGGACUCUAGCCCCACAUGGCAGAUGAAAAACUGUGCCUCGGAGGAGUUAAGCGAAUUGCUGAGGAUGGUACCACAGAGAGCGACUGAGGCGACAGCCAGCAUCCAGCCUCCAGAGUUCCACUGUGCUUCCCCAAAGACAGGCGGGCUCUCCUCAAGCACAUUUUUACUUUAGGAGCUGCUGAAACUGGGGUGUGGACCACGGGAUCCCCCCUGACCAGCCUCAAGCCCGAGCCUGCGAUUCUCUCAUCCGCACUUCACCAGCUGAGGUGAAGGGUGGGCCUCCAUUUUGGUUGAAUUACAUUCUCUCUCACAGAACCAUCUGGAAACCCCAUCACCUUAAUAAUUCAGUGUUGUUUGAUGCUGUGAAAGGUGAAAAAGACUUCAAUUCUUACUACCAAAUUGUGCUGGGGAGUGACACAGAUAGUCAGUCUCUCAGCAGCACGCACACCCUGUUAGAAGGGGGUAUGGUUUUUACUUUCCGCUUAUUCCCGGCAAAUCCUGUGGCUUCCACUAAGCAAGGAUGUCCUCUGAGCACCCUGACCCUCCCGAUUCCCGUGCACCGCCCCAGCCUCCGCUGUCGCCUGCCCUCCACCUGGCGCCUCCGUUAUUUACUUGUUCCCCAGGUUCAGUCUCGGGCGGCCUCGGCUUUCUCCACGUCUUCUCCCUGCACAGUGGCAACGCUUCCAGAACCCCAGCUGCUCUAACACCAGGCCCAGCUCCUCCAACCCAAGCGUCUCUACCCAACUGUGGGAUCUGUCCGCACCUCCAGAUGGGGAGGCCCACGUCUCCGUGUCACCUGAGGGCGGGUGUGUUUAGAAGCAUGCUUUUGCAUCUCCACCACUGGAGACACAGGGACUUGGGGUGUGUACGUUUUGUGAAAACUCAAACAUGGGCCUCACCUUUUGGUUUUAUGGAUGUGAACCACGUCCCUGCAGUCAUCAGAGUGGAAUGCUGCUAGCGGCUGGCCCUAGGCUGAGUGUUUGACCGGGAAUACCCACACACUUCUCUCAACUAACCCGUGAGGUUGGCAUGUUCAGUACCUGGGGAGAAAGUGGGGUAACAAUGACAGGACUAAAGCCCACAGCCUGGGGCCUGGCACCUGGCAAGUGCCCUCUGGGUGUUGGUGGAGUUCUUACUUGGAUGACUUUAAUCAUUACAGAGGCUCCCUAAGGCCACACAGCUGGUAGGGGCUCUGGCCCCGUCUCAUCUCACUCCAGAGCCCCAGGUGAGUGCAAGGCAGAACCUCUAUGUUUCUGUCUCAGAUUCUUCUCAUUGCUUUGUUUUUCUCAAAACAUUUCAUUUUAUCAAUGAUGAAUACUAAAAUUAGAUUAUUUUCUUUUUGUUGAAACUAUAUGUAUUGAUUUUUUGUCUUUGGAGUUGUCAUAAAACACCUGUGGUCAAAUCCAGGCCCUUCCAGUUACCAGCAAUGUGACCCUCUGCACGCUAAUCACCUCCCUGAUGACUCAGUUUCCCCAUCUGUAAAGGAGAAGCAAUGGAAGUACUGGGCAGUUUAAAUAACAUAAAUGUUGCAGAACACUUGGUACAUGGCCAGACAUGCAGUAGGUAUUCCAUAAAGGAAGCUAUUUGUAUUUUUUGUUUCAAAUUCUAUUCCAUGGUGAACGUUUGUUUACUGUCUCAGAUGUGAUGUGAGAUUCCAUUUUGAAUAGCUUUCAGGAAUGUGACACGAAAUUAUCUUCCUUCUUCCAUCAGCUAAAAACUACUGUAUAAAUGUUUCAAGCUCUGCUCCCCCUACUCUUACCAAUGAUAAACAUGCCCCUAGGUUUCCCCUACAGCCACCCCAGCUCCUCGCUCUACAUCUCCCUCUCCCCACCGCCACCUUCCGCCCCUGCCCUGCGGCUCCCACCGCCCCUGCCCUGCUGCUCCCACCGCCCCUGCUCUGCUCUGCUGCUCCUUCCGCCCCUGCCCUGCGGCUCCUACGGCCCCUGCCCUGCUGCUCCUUCCGCCCCCGCCCCGCUGCUCCUUCCGCCCCCGCCCCGAGGCUCCUUCCGCCCCUAUCGCUCUGCUCCUUCCGCCCCUGCCCGGCGGCUCCUUCCGCCCCUGCCGCUCUGCUCCUUCCACCCCUGCUCUGCUGCUCUGGGCUUUCCCCGAGGCUUUGCUGCCCACACUCUUCUUGCUCGUCAGACCCACCAAGGUUGCAGAGAAAGGCAGACAGCAGCAGAUGGCUAGGAAACGAAUACUCAACAAUAGGGUGAUUUCAGAACUAAAUUCCAAAGAAUUCAGCCUACAGAGCAAAAACUCACUCAAAAAACCAAAAAGAUGGAGAU